Bufo gargarizans (Asiatic toad) is the source of this 5307-nucleotide RNA transcript. It is a transcript of the gene named RNA polymerase II associated protein 1, with no coding region annotated. The transcript has 27 exons. The record is from RefSeq and is a predicted model, not a curated record. NCBI's taxonomy places the organism in Eukaryota, Metazoa, Chordata, Amphibia, Anura, Bufonidae.
CGUCACCGCCCAGUGUUAGGGCGGAAGUGUGUACCGUGUGGUUUGCAGAGACUAUGAGACAGAUGUUCUGAAGGAAAUCACAAUGCUUUCAAGACCAAAGCCGGGGGAGUCCGAAGAAGAUCUUCUGGCCUUCCAAAACCAAUUUCUUGCUGCCGGAGCUUCUUCAGCCGCAACUGUUGUUAGGAAAGCCGAUAAAAGAAAAGGGGGCUCUGAAAACACGAGAGAGGGGCCUGCCAGAGGAGCAGCAGGAAAAGAUGUUGUGUCGCUGCCGGAUUUCUCUGAUUUGCCUCCUAUUCUGUCCCCGGGGCCAACUAAGAAAUCAAAGGUUGCUGGAGCAAGGGUUCAUUUUGCUGACGAAGAUCCAGAAGACAUAUUCGAAAAGCAUGACCAACAUAUCACAGCUGUCAUCUCAAAAAUUAUCGAGCGGGACACAAGCACUUCCACCAUCACCGCUCCACUCCCCACUGGAGAAGCCUUUCCUCGAGUAUUUCACAGAUCGGAGAUAGCCAGUGCGGCUAUUCCAAAAUCUGGAAAGGUAAGCAUCUUUGCUCAAAAAAUGGCUGCCAAAAAGGCCUCUGAGGCAGCGAAAAGUGGCAACACCUCUACAGCCCAACCACAGCGUGGACCCUCUGUUAAUCCAGUGAAUGUCAUUCCCUCGGACGAAAUUAAAUCUUCACAAACAACAAAAACAACAGAUGCAGCGCGCACAGACAGGUCCUAUUUGGUAACAGGGGACGGUCUUCGAAGUUCAACAGGUUAUGAAGAAGCAGAGAGGAUACAUCAAGAAAACGUAGAGAAGCUGAAGGCUCUUUCCCAAGAAGAGAUACUUCAGGAACGUAACCGGCUGAUGUCACAGCUCGACCCCAAGAUGGUUGCUUUCCUGAGAUCGAAGAGGGAGAACCAGACCACCCAUGAGAACACAAGUUCAGCGGAGGAACGCCAGUCUGUCGAUAUGGAACAUCCUCAUUGUCCAGCAGCGACAAAUUCAUCUGAGCAGACUUCAAGUAAGGAUGAAGAAAAUCCAAGUCUGCCGUCAGUUGACGACCUCCCGGUGAAGCCUCAGAAGGAGUGGGUGCAUAUGGAGAAAGUGGAGCUUGAGAAGCUGGAGUGGAUAAAGGACCUGCCGCAGAUCAGACAAAAGAAAACUAAGAAGGGAAUGCAAGCACGAUUCAGCCUGAAGGGAGACUUGAUACCUCCAGAUGCUGACAUGCCUACUCAUCUAGGGCUACACCAUCAUGGAGAGGAGGCAGAGAGAGCUGGUUACUCCCUACAAGAGCUUUUCCAUCUGACUCGCAGCCAGUUCAUUCAGCAGAGAACUGUGUCCUUGCAGGUCCUGGGGCGUAUCGUGAAGAAGGCCAAAGAAGGAGAGUUUGCCUCUGUUCUUAAGGGAAGUGCGCUUCGACUUUUGCUGGAUGCAGGGUUCCUCUUCCUCCUACGCUUUUCUAUAGACGAUCCCAUAGACAACGUUAUUUCUGCAUCGGUUGGCGCACUUCAUUCCUUAUUGGUUUCACAAGAAGACGAGGAAUACUUGGAUAAGACUUUUUCUUGGUAUCAAGGAACAAAAGUGUUUCCUUUCCUACCCAGCCAAGAGGAGGAGGAGAGGAGGAGGAGGAUGAAGAUGAUGGUAGAAAAAGGCCUGAAUAAAACCACAGGAAAAGUGGACAAGCAAAAGGAUAAAGAUGAAAAGAAAUCCGAUCCUGAUGUUGCUCGAUAUGAUGCUAUAAAGGGUCUUCUGAAGACAAAGUUUCACCAUCGACUAAGAUACAUCUUGGAAGUUGUGAGGCCACCAGCCUCAGUGGUCCUGCAAAUUCUUGAUAUUCUGACGAGAGUGGCCCGCCAUUCUGCAGCAGCCUGCAGCCAGCUCCUCGAUUGUCCUCGGCUAAUGGAGACCAUUGUACGCGAGUUCCUGCCCAUGCAGUGGAGUACGGCAAUGGAUACUGAUGAUCCUGGUCCUUCCAGUCUCCAUGGCGUGCCCUGUGCCGCAGCAAUAAAAUUUCUACGGGUGUUGGCUUCCUCAGGUCGUCAUGCUGCUGCCAGACUAUUGAACACCUUUGACAUGAAAAGCCGACUCAGCAGAUUUGUGGUUCAGGAACCCCAAGAUCUUCCCCUUUUGAAGGGAGAAGCAGAGCGUUUAAGUACUGAGACCUUUCGCCUCUGGGCUAUAGCUGCCGGCUAUGGCCAGGCCUGUGAUAUAUACAGAGAUCUGUACCCUGUUCUUGUGGGAAUCAUCCAGUCCUUUCCUCCUCUGAUCACUUCUUGCAAAAGGACUCCGACCUUGGUGACUGUUUCCAUCCAGCGAGCUGCUGCAGUGAUUACUCUGAUUUCUCACGUGACCCAGACGGCAGGCUGUACAGCCGAGCUGGAGGCACAACUCCACAGCACACCUAUUGAUACAGAGCCUCAGGUUCCUCCACCUCCUGUGUCCUGGGCCGACAUCACUGGGCUGCUACCUUUAGUGGAAGGAUGUCUGAUGCGAUGUCUCCAAGAAAUAUCAGAUUCCAGCACCUGGGAACUUCUCCAACCCCUCACCACUGCAUCCAUCAACUUCCUGGCUUCUUACUACAAGGCAGCUUGCCGACAGCCGUCCCUGAAUACCGUCUUAUGUAACGAGGAAGUUGAGAAGCUGACUGAUAGCGUACUACUACCAUUCCUGCAUCAUGUGGCUGUGCGGUCCAUGUGGGAUUCUCUCUGGUCUUGCUCUGCUGUGUGCAAUCCCCUUUCCUGCUCCCCAUUGCCGGAGUCUGUCAGCAGCAUUGUGACUUUGAGUUGCGCAGGAGAAAAGCCACCACUCAGCUUGGCUGGAGUAAAAUCACCUUACCCCAUCUUGACAUCUGUGCUCAAUCUCAUCUGCAGCAUCACCAACAUACACAAGGGACUGGUCAGCAAGUUCUCCUUUAUCCUUCAAUACAAAGGACUUGAAAAAUACCUACUGAAGAUAAGUGAAUGCCCGACUCCACCAGUGACUCCAUCCUCCAGCUGGCUCCUUCGACACGAGUACCACUUUCAGUACUUUGCAUUGUCUCUGCUAUAUAAAGUGGCGGCCAUGUAUCCUGAACAUUCCCAGCAUGCAUCUCUAUGUCAUUCUGUCUCCAUUACCUUACUGAGUCGACUCUUGCCUGGCAGCGAGCAUCUGGCCCAUAAGAUUAUUUCUUCCUUUACGUUCAAUCCGACUUUUUUGCCAGAAGGAAGUUCGGGAGGUCCACAAGCAGCGGAUUUGUCAGAUAUUUUGCACAUUACAUCUGACGCCAAGCAAGCAGCCCCUAGUUCAGCUGCUGCAACCUCCACCUCUCCAAGCCGUGGUGCUUUGUUGGAAGAAGCCUUCAAAGAUCUCCCUUCCAUCCGGGCUUGCUAUUUGACUCACUUUGCACACAUGGAACAAGCUCUCCACCACUCCAGGGUUGUCUACCAGGAAAGGACUUGUUUCAUCAAGACUGCUUUGCUUCCAGAAGCCAAAGGUCCGAUUUUGCCAUCUGACUGGUCGUUCCUUCCAUUAAUCAACCUCUACAAUAAAGUGACCAAUGCGGAGACCAAAGGAAAUAUUGUGAACACCCUCCCCCCUGAUCUGGUGAACACAGUAACUAGGAACUUGCAGUGGGUCUUUCUUUUGGAAACUUGGCGCCCCAGCUCCUUGCAGAGCAUACCCACCGCAGCAAAGCUGGCGCGUCUGGCCUGCGUGUUUCUCACAGGCAGUGACCUCUUCUUAGAAGGCCCUGUCCAUGCAUACACGGCUGCUCUUACCGUUUUUUAUAGUCAACCAAAAUUUAUGGAAUCUCUAAAGCUUGAUGCACCUCUUCCCGGUCUGGCUUCAUUCUAUGAUUUUUACAUGGACCUUUUGGAGCAGUUUGAGGGGGUUUCGUUUGGAGACCCCUUAUUUGGAACAUUUGUACUUCUUCCCUUACAGAGACGUUUCAGCGUCCAGCUUAGGCAAACUUUGUUUGGUGAACAUGUUAGCAGCUUGAGAUCCCUGUCUGUGCCCCUUAAAGAGUUUCCCGUCGCCUUGACCUUGUACACAUCCCCUCCUGAAGACAACUUGAAUCUCUUACGUCUCUAUUUCCGGACGUUGGUGACAGGAGCCCUCCGUCAGGCCUGGUGUCCAGUGCUGUAUGUUGUGGCAGUUUCCCAUGUGAAUAGCUUCAUUUUUUCACAAGAGCGUGUGGCUGAGGAAAUGGAUGCAGCAAGGAAAAACAUGCUCAGGAAGACGUACCUCUUGGUGGAUGAGGGUCUGAAGAAGCAUCUCUUGUACUACAGACAACUCUUAGGCAGCAGUCCGCUGGGCUUUGAUUUGUACGACGCUCUUCCACCUCUCAGGGAAAAGUAUCUAAAAGCGGUAACACAGCGGCAACAGCAAGCAAAAGAGGCAUCAUAAAGCUGGGAAGCCAUGCUCAAGGACACAGACGCUGAGGCCAAUAUACUUUCUUGACACAUCAGCAAUACAACACCUUUGGAUGGUGGGUGACUUCAUCGGUCUCCACAAGAACCAGAAGAUUCUGGGUAGUCACCCACUUACUGCAGUACACUGCCUAGAAGACGGGUGCGAAAAGCAAAUAAAGAGUAUACUAUGAGUACGUACAGUGCAAAACCGGGCCCUGGGUCCUUAUCGCUAGAGAAGAAGAAAUGGCAUUUACACUUUAACCCUUAGGAGAGCACCUUCCUGGAUGAGACAUCUCAACUCCAAUUUACAUAAGUUGAAUGAAUUAUUGAAAUUAUUUAGCCCCGAUUUCUGCAUUUGUUUUUGUGUUUUCUUUUUGUGCUAAUCCUUUGUUGUCUCUUUGUACACAAAGCACGCCUGCCAUUGAGGAUUGAAACGCGUCAAAUACACUUGUAUAUUUUAGGUGCUUUUUUCUUCCAUUUAUUUGUGUUAUUUGGAUUGAGAUUCAGUCUAAGUUACUCUUGGGUCUGAUUCACACAACAGGAUUUUCCAUCUAUGUGCCUACUGUGUUCACAGCGGACUGCACCCAAACCCAUUAAAGACAGUGGUUCAAUUCACACAUCUGCUUUCCGGCACAGACCUACUCAUAGCAAGCACUGUUCUUGUCCAUCUUACAUCCGAACAUUCAAGUGUAUGGGUGUGGAAAAAACACUGGCACACCCUGGCAUCACACAGCAUGGCAUACAUCAAUUUUUGGCAGGCGUAAAUUGGAACAGCCAUGUGAAUCAGGCUUUAUGCGUUGUCAUUUAGAACAGGGAUGCUCAACGUGCUGCUGUCCAGCUGUUGCAAAACUACAACACCCAGCAUGCCCAGACAGUAUACAGCUAUCAGCCUACAGCAGGGCAUGGUGGCAGUCGUAGUUUUACAACAGCUGGAGG